GACCGCUCCGAUAAAGAAGUGGUUAGAGCGUCCGACUUGGAUUCGGGACGUCGCGGGUUCGAACCCAGGCUGAGUCA
Non-coding RNA from Potamilus streckersoni, 77 nucleotides. The record is from the annotation of a GenBank genome assembly. Lineage: Eukaryota; Metazoa; Mollusca; Bivalvia; Unionida; Unionidae.